Molecule: ribosomal RNA, 487 nt
Filed under: uncultured bacterium
Lineage: Bacteria
Description: bacterial SSU rRNA
Rfam family: Bacterial small subunit ribosomal RNA
Source: RNAcentral
AUUGAACGCUGGCGGCAUGCUUUACACAUGCAAGUCGAACGGCAGCACGGGUGCUUGCACCUGGUGGCGAGUGGCGGACGGGUGAGUAAUGCAUCGGAACGUGUCCUGAAGUGGGGGAUAACGCAUCGAAAGAUGUGCUAAUACCGCAUAUUCUCUGAGGAGGAAAGUAGGGGAUCGAAAGACCUUAUGCUUUUGGAGCGGCCGAUGUCUGAUUAGCUAGUUGGUAGGGUAAUGGCUUACCAAGGCGACGAUCAGUAGUUGGUCUGAGAGGACGGCCAGCCACACUGGGACUGAGACACGGCCCAGACUCCUACGGGAGGCAGCAGUGGGGAAUUUUGGGCAAUGGACGAAAGUCUGACCCAGCCACGCCGCGUGAAGGAUGACUGCCCUAUGGGUUGUAAACUUCUUUUGUAUGGGAAGAAAAUUCCGAACGUGUUCGGAGCUGACGGUACCAUAAGAAUAAGCAUCGGCUAACUCCGUGCCAGCA